CCGGCACGGGUGAGUAACACGUAUCCAACCUGCCGUCUACUCUUGGCCAGCUCUGAAGAAGAUUAAUCCAGGAUGGCAUCAUGAGUUCACAUGUCCGCAUGAUUAAAGGUAUUUCCGGUAGACGAUGGGGAUGCGUUCCAUUAGAUAGUAGGCGGGGUAACGGCCCACCUAGUCAACGAUGGAUAGGGGUUCUGAGAGGAAGGUCCCCCACAUUGGAACUGAGACACGGUCCAA
This 234-nucleotide ribosomal RNA is filed under the name uncultured bacterium. Its description in RNAcentral is "partial 16S ribosomal RNA". It matches the Rfam family "Bacterial small subunit ribosomal RNA", at positions 100 to 334 of the family's 1533-position model. The record is from RNAcentral.